GGCCAUGGCUCAGUGGUAGAGCAUCUGCUUGGCAUACAGAAGGUCCCAGGGUCAAUCCCCAGCAUCUCCU
RNAcentral lists this transfer RNA (70 nucleotides) under Sphaerodactylus townsendi. RNAcentral describes it as "tRNA-Ala". Lineage: Eukaryota; Metazoa; Chordata; Lepidosauria; Squamata; Sphaerodactylidae. The record is from RNAcentral.